UACAGAGGGGGCAAGCGUUGUUCGGAAUUACUGGGCGUAAAGGGCGCGUAGGCGGCCUGCUAAGUCGAACGUGAAAUCCCUGGGCUCAACCCAGGAACUGCGUCCGAUACUGGUUGGCUUGAAUCCGGGAGAGGGAUGUGGAAUUCCAGGUGUAGCGGUGAAAUGCGUAGAUAUCUGGAGGAACACCGGUGGCGAAGGCGACAUCCUGGACCGGUGUUGACGCUGAGGCGCGAAAGCCAGGGGAGCAAACGGG
Molecule: ribosomal RNA, 253 nt
Filed under: uncultured bacterium
Lineage: Bacteria
Description: partial 16S ribosomal RNA
Rfam family: Bacterial small subunit ribosomal RNA
Source: RNAcentral